GAUGAAGCCCAGCUUGCUGGGUGGAUUAGUGGCGAACGGGUGAGUAACACGUGGGUGAUCUGCCCUGCACUCUGGGAUAAGCCUGGGAAACUGGGUCUAAUACCGGAUAUGACCUCGGGAUGCAUGUCCUGGGGUGGAAAGUUUUUCGGUGCAGGAUGAGCCCGCGGCCUAUCAGCUUGUUGGUGGGGUAAUGGCCUACCAAGGCGACGACGGGUAGCCGGCCUGAGAGGGCGACCGGCCACACUGGGACUGAGACACGGCCCAGACUCCUACGGGAGGCAGCAGUGGGGAAUAUUGCACAAUGGGCGCAAGCCUGAUGCAGCGACGCCGCGUGAGGGAUGACGGCCUUCGGGUUGUAAACCUCUUUCAGCAGGGACGAAGCGCAAGUGACGGUACCUGCAGAAGAAGCACCGGCCAACUACGUGCCAGCAGCCGCGGUAAUACGUAGGGUGCGAGCGUUGUCCGGAAUUACUGGGCGUAAAGAGCUCGUAGGCGGUUUGUCGCGUCGUCUGUGAAAUCCCGCAGCUCAACUGCGGGCUUGCAGGCGAUACGGGCAGACUCGAGUACUGCAGGGGAGACUGGAAUUCCUGGUGUAGCGGUGAAAUGCGCAGAUAUCAGGAGGAACACCGGUGGCGAAGGCGGGUCUCUGGGCAGUAACUGACGCUGAGGAGCGAAAGCGUGGGUAGCGAACAGGAUUAGAUACCCUGGUAGUCCACGCCGUAAACGGUGGGCGCUAGGUGUGGGUUUCCUUCCACGGGAUCCGUGCCGUAGCCAACGCAUUAAGCGCCCCGCCUGGGGAGUACGGCCGC
This 809-nucleotide ribosomal RNA is filed under the name Rhodococcus rhodochrous. Its description in RNAcentral is "bacterial SSU rRNA". It matches the Rfam family "Bacterial small subunit ribosomal RNA", at positions 68 to 889 of the family's 1533-position model. The record is from RNAcentral. Lineage: Bacteria; Bacillati; Actinomycetota; Actinomycetes; Mycobacteriales; Nocardiaceae.